Marmota flaviventris (yellow-bellied marmot) is the source of this 2920-nucleotide long non-coding RNA. RefSeq lists it as uncharacterized. The record is from RefSeq and is a predicted model, not a curated record. Lineage: Eukaryota; Metazoa; Chordata; Mammalia; Rodentia; Sciuridae.
AGAUGGAUGUGAGGUGAAGUCUCUGAAGCUGUGUUCCAAUCCCUGAGUCGUGUGGUCAUGGGAAAUGCCAGUCACAGAGAUGCUUCAGAAGUCAGCAGCUGCCUGGGAGAGAAGCAAGAACCUGGGCUCAGCAAGAUCCUCAGGAGGUCAAGGCCACCUGGUCCAGAGCAGAGAGGAAAAGAGGUCUUGAAAGGCCACUUGCUGCUCUGGCCAAGACAUCUGCAGUGCUCCUGUUCCUGAGGCCUUGCGAUUCCAAGACAUGUCCGAGACAUGUGAAGGCACUUCUUGAAUCCAAAGCAGCCCCUGCCUGAGGAGCACCAAACAUCACAGCUGAGGGGUGCCCAGCUUUGGAGCACCCCUCCCUAGGCCCAAAGACGUCCUCAAAGCUUUGAAGGCUAUUCUGGUCAUGCCCCAUGUAAUGUCGGUGUCUACAGAAAAACGUGCAGGGCAAGAGUAUAAAUAUCUGCUUGUUUUGAUCACAUAUUAUACUAUUUAAAGACCUCCUGUGGGAGAGCCACCCCCGCUAGGCCCAAGCAGGAAGGAGAAGCCAAACUCUGUGUAAAAUCUGGGCCCUUCGACCCGUGGACUUUAAGUUCUUUCCUGUGAGGUUCCCUAAAGGCCCUGAAGACGGAGCUGAGUCCCAUUGCCAAGCGGGAACGGAGCAGCUGCACCCAGGGAGACCAGAACAAAUGCUCUGGUACUCAGAGGAAGCUCCUGGGAUGGCCGUCAGCGGCUCCACUCUUCCUGUGCAGCUUCCUCCUUUGACCUUUCAAGGAUCUUCUUGCAGUUAAAAGCUCCCAGGAAACUAGAAAGAGCUGAAGGGCAAAACACCGAGAUGCCCCCCGCACUCAGCGCUGGCACACGCCCAGGCGGACCCCAGGUAGCAGUGGCAAAAUGAACCUCGCUCCUCUGCUGUUUCCCAGGCUGUGGACUUCAUCCAAGGGCAGGAGUGGCCUGCAGCUGGUCAGCGCCCAUCCACUGGGCUCUCCCGAGCAGGAGUGCUGGCCUAUUGAAAGGGCACCAGGCACACGCACAUGCUCCCUCAGGAGCGAGGUGCGUCCACUUGUCUGUGGAUGUCACAGUCCAGUGGUUACAUCAGCUGACCUGUAGAAUAUCUACCCUCUUGUCGACUCUAGACGCCGGAGACUGAGCCAGGGUCAAGGCUGAGACUCCUGGACAGCAGCUGGGAAGCCUCUGUGGUGUGGAUCGCUUUCAAGCCCGCACUCUGGACUGAAAGACAAAAACAAAGUCCAGCCAAGCAGCUUGAUCUGUUCCUUGGUUUGCUAGUUUUGUGCUCCAGGUUCUGGCGACAACUGUACCCACGUCAGGGUCUGAGGGUUUUCAAGGUGCGUGCACACCAGGAUGCUCACACCAUGGAAACGGGCGCUUCCCGUUGCUCUGGGGAAACAGUUGAGUUAGGAAAACAUUUUAAACCAGACAUCAGGCCUUGAAGCCAUAAAAGAAGUGAUCAGUUAGACCUACCAAAAAGUGAACUUUCGUGUCAGAAGACUACCACCACGCCAAAACAAAAGACACACUGGAAACAAACUCUGAAACACGAUGGGGAAGUUUACUGUUAAAAUUUAGAAUUAGAAUUUUACCGUUAAAUUCUAUUAUUAUAUAUGAUUUGGAAAGACAUUCUGAAAGUCUGUGAUUAAGAUGGCAACAGAAAAAAAAAAAGGCAAAUGACAUGGACAGGCAUGUGGAAUAAAAACUGCACAUAUGCAGUACGAGACCUAUAACCCUCAUGAACUCCAAGCCAUGCCAAUGGCAUAUUUUGACUUGGAAAGGCACAUAUAAAUCCAAAUGUUCGAUUUUUGCCAUCAGGGAAUUGGGUAAACAGGUAUUCCAUAUACUUUUACUAGACAUGCAAAUUAGUUUGAGACUUUCCUAUAAUAAUUUCAAAUCUUCCUCUCAACUGUUCUGGUAAGUCCGAUUCUAGGAAUGAGCUUUAGAAACUCACACGACUGCAUUAACAAGAAUAUGUAAGCUGUAGCAAUUGUUUGUAAUGGUAAAAGGUUAGAAUUGACCCAAAUAUUUAUUAUUGCAUAAUUAUAGUGAAAAUAAAUAUUGUGAAACUAGUCAUUUACCUCAGAGACAGACUUCCAUUUACUGACAUGAAAAGGCUUAAGUGACUUUCAGAUUGGCAAAGAUCCCACUUUUUCUAUAAGAACAUAUUUUCACGUAUUUUACCCAUGAAACAAUUUUGGAGUAGGUGUCCCUAGACUUCUUGUAUGGCUGCCACCAAGGUGGGAGGAAAGUGUGUGGGGAGGAUGAGGGAUUUUACUGUUAAAAUUCUAUAUUUCUUUUUUAUACCAAGAGCAUAUUACUUUUCAAAUCAGAAAAAUAAUGCUAUAAAAAGUAAAGACAAAAUGGGUGCUUGUGGCAAAGUCAGGAUUACCCGCAGCCGGCCACCCAUUGUCUGUACACUAUUCAGUAUCUAAUGGCAAUCUUCAUCUUCUCUGAGUUCUUCCAACCUGUCAGAGUCGCUGGAGGAGAUGAUUGGAUGGUGAAGCACUUGGCUCCUCCCAUCUUCCUUUUUUCCUCGUGUUGAGGAGGAGUCUAAUUCUGCUCAUCCUGGUGGCCCAUUUCUCUGCUGAACUGUGGGUGGUUCUGACAAAGGCAAGGUCACAGACCCUAAAAAGCCAUGUGGUCUGGGCCCCUGCUUGGUGAUUUGUAAACUCCCUGGCUGGCGAUGCUGGUGGCAUUUGGCCCCUCCCAGGGAUGGCUGGGACCCCCUGAUUCGGGUAUCUCAAAGUGGUUCUCUCUGUGGCUUGUGGCCAGGGUCCUGGAGUGCCUUCUUUUGUCCUGUUUCCCCGUCAGGAUUUUGGUAGCCAAGCACCAUUCUUUCCUCAUUCUCCUUUGCAUCAGGUUCUGGGAUUUUUUUUUUCAUCUCCUUAAUAAAAUUUAUUGAUAUUUU